GUACGGUGGUUGAGGAGCAUGUCCAGCUCCAGGUGAGUGGUACGGUGGUUGAGGAGCAUGUCCAGCUCCAGGUGAGUGGUACGGUGGCUGAGGAACAUGUCCAGCUCCAGGUGAGUGGUACGGUGGCUGAGGAGCAUGUCCAGCUCCAGGUGAGUGGUACUGUGGCUGAGGAGCAUAUUAUUACCAUGGCGGGUAGUACACACCAAUAUGUGCAUUAGCAAAGCUUCCUCUUCCUCUGCCCCUAUUGAAACCUCUUCCUCUUUCAUUCACUGUGAACUCACGUGCCCCAACUGCCCACAG
Oncorhynchus tshawytscha (Chinook salmon) is the source of this 300-nucleotide long non-coding RNA. Lineage: Eukaryota; Metazoa; Chordata; Actinopteri; Salmoniformes; Salmonidae. The record is from Ensembl.